Molecule: transfer RNA, 74 nt
Filed under: Aplocheilus panchax (blue panchax)
Lineage: Eukaryota; Metazoa; Chordata; Actinopteri; Cyprinodontiformes; Aplocheilidae
Description: tRNA-Leu
Rfam family: tRNA
About the family: Transfer RNA (tRNA) molecules are approximately 80 nucleotides in length. Their secondary structure includes four short double-helical elements and three loops (D, anti-codon, and T loops).
Source: RNAcentral
GUUAAGGUGGCAGAGCCCGGUUAAUGCAAAAGUCCUAAGCCCUUUAGACGAAGGUUCAAGUCCUUCCUUUAACU